RNAcentral lists this ribosomal RNA (482 nucleotides) under uncultured bacterium. RNAcentral describes it as "partial 16S ribosomal RNA". It matches the Rfam family "Bacterial small subunit ribosomal RNA", at positions 30 to 507 of the family's 1533-position model. The record is from RNAcentral.
AUUGAACGCUGGCGGCAUGCUUUACACAUGCAAGUCGAACGGUAACAGGCCGCAAGGUGCUGACGAGUGGCGAACGGGUGAGUAAUGCAUCGGAACGUGCCCAGUCGUGGGGGAUAACUACUCGAAAGAGUAGCUAAUACCGCAUACGAUCUAUGGAUGAAAGCGGGGGACCGUAAGGCCUCGCGCGAUUGGAGCGGCCGAUGUCAGAUUAGGUAGUUGGUGGGGUAAAGGCUCACCAAGCCAACGAUCUGUAGCUGGUCUGAGAGGACGACCAGCCACACUGGGACUGAGACACGGCCCAGACUCCUACGGGAGGCAGCAGUGGGGAAUUUUGGACAAUGGGCGCAAGCCUGAUCCAGCAAUGCCGCGUGCAGGAAGAAGGCCUUCGGGUUGUAAACUGCUUUUGUACGGAACGAAACGGCUCUGGUUAAUACCCGGGGCUAAUGACGGUACCGUAAGAACAAGCACCGGCUAACUACGUG